Molecule: long non-coding RNA, 1220 nt
Filed under: Sus scrofa (pig)
Lineage: Eukaryota; Metazoa; Chordata; Mammalia; Artiodactyla; Suidae
Description: lncRNA (ENSSSCG00070023660.1)
Source: RNAcentral
CAGGAAUCUAAGAGUACCUUAGCUGGGUGGUUCUUGUUUAAGGUCUCAUGAAAUUGCAGUCAAGCUGUUGACUGGGGUUUUGGUUGUUUGAAGGCUUGACCAGGGCUGAAAGAUGUGUUUCUAAGAUAUCUUACUCUCAUGGUUGUUAUCACAAGACUUCAAUUCAUAGCCAUGUGGACUUCCUCAGGGGGGCUGCUCAUGAUAUGAUGGCUGGUUUCCUGCAGUGAGUGAUCUAAAAGAGAAACUGAGAGAGCAAUACAACAGAAGCCCCAAUGUCUUAUAAUCUAAUCUUAGAAGUGACAGAUCAAUCUUGUUAAAUGUGGGAGGGGACUACACAAAAAUGUGAAUAACAGAAGUUGGGGAUUAUUAAGUUCAUUUUAGAUGCUGGCUACUGAAAUUACUACCUAUAUUAUUUACCCAUGUUUAUUUGAUUCAACUUUAACCUUGAAGCCUUUAAAGAAUUACAGUAUUAUUCCUGGGCAUAGUUUAUCACAAAUCUAGGUUGUAUUUUGCCAGUUCAGUACUUAUAAUCAAUAUUGCACUAUGUAUGUCAACAAAACAUUCUCCUUGCCACAUUCAAAUUUUCUUUUUUGAAGACUAAGCUAAAUCUACUUUCUUUUUUAGAACUGCAGGAUAUAAAAUGUAUCUUACUGAGAAACACACCCAGUGCAAAGGUCUUGAACUGCCAGGAUCUCACCUAGUAUAGGCUUAGGUCUGCUUCACUCUCUCAUUUGAGUCUUACUAUUAACAAGUAGAAAACUGCAAUCAUGCCACUCUGGAAUCAAGAUUUGCUCUCAAAUGAGUCUUUAAUGACUUCGAAACAAAUUGGAUUCUUCACCAAAAAUAUAACUUUAUGGAUCCAAGUUGCAAUUAAAGCUAACCUUUGCAUUUUGGGAACUGCCCUGGGACCUUUUUUGCUCUACAAAAUCUGGAGAAAGCACAAAAAGAAAGGUAAGAAAUCAUAGGGAAAAUGCAAUGCAUUCUGAGGUUAAAAAUACAGAGUUAAAAAUAGUGCAGGACUUUUGUAUAUGGAAUGGAUGAUCAAUGAAGACUUGCUGUAUAGCACAGGGACAUAUACUUAAUGUUCUGUAAUAACCUAUAUAGAAAUGGAUAUGUGUAUAUGUAUAUGUAAAGCUGAGUCACUUUGCUGUAUAGUGAUUGCAGAAAUUAACACUGUAAAUCAACUGUACUUCAAUAAAAUUAAAUUAAACAGUGGUACA